Molecule: non-coding RNA, 72 nt
Organism: Ictidomys tridecemlineatus (thirteen-lined ground squirrel)
Lineage: Eukaryota; Metazoa; Chordata; Mammalia; Rodentia; Sciuridae
Source: Rfam
GAGGUUGUGGCUCAGCGGUAGAGCACUUGCCUAACAUGUGCGAGGCCCUGGGUUCAAAUCUCAGCAUACAUA